AGUACGCGGAAGAUUAUGUAGCAUUAGUGAUAAAUGUUGAUUGUUUAAUUUUGUGCAGGGGGUUAAGCCAUGACCAUUUAAUGCAGAUAUGUGAAUAUCUUUCUGAUUAAUUACAGUAAGGGAUUUCAUUGGGAAUGCACUAAGGGGGCUUAUGGAUCUUCCCCUCCCCUAAUGUUUUGGUUCUCAGCUUCCAAAACUAUUAAUGCCAAACUUUACUCUGUGGGAAAUAGCUGAUUUGCUUGCAGUUCACCGGCUACUCUCUCUCUCUCGAAUGGACAAUCCUUGCAUAACUUCAUGGAUAUUGAAAACAGUAAAUUGAAUAUUGCACCUUUCUGAUCUAGAAAAUCAUUAGCUCUUGAGUUUUUCAUUCUAAUACUUCUCCCAUUGGCAUCAUGCCUGACAGCUUGUGAUUCAAAGAAGCAGAAGAAAGUUCCUUUCAUGGGAGAUUGUCCUUAAAAAAUCAAAUGCAAUGACAUUAUAAUGGUGCUUGACAUGUACAAAGUUCAAGGAGUUAUGCAGGGGAAGGAACAUAUUAAAGGGAAAUUACGACGCAGAUGUUUAGAAGCUGCCAUGAAAACUAGGAGCAGUUCAAAUUUUACUUUUUCCCCUUUUCUCUUAACUGUUGUGGAUGCUUACAUGAGCUAUGGAAUGGUCACUGCUGAAAACUCAAUGGAAACUUUUGGUGGAGAUAAUCUGGUUAUGAAUUACAGUAGAUCAAGGGAUGGAUACCUUAGAUUCUGAGAAGAUGAUGAAGAGAAUUAUUCUGGAAUCUGGAUCGAAGUAGAACUAAAGUGAAUGCAGAUAAUUUGGAGAAGGAUUCCAGUAAAUGCGAAGAUCACGAGGAAAAGAGAUACGAUAAUGAUUCUUUGCAAGUCUCUGCAUUUCCAAGUGCUUCCAAUUUAGACAAGCCAUACGUGAUGCCCCUGCUACCCAUUCCAAAUGUGGAAAGAUAUUAUUUAAAUGCGUCACUCAUCUUGACAGGAACCGCCUGUAAAGGGGGAACUGGACCACCUGUAGGAGCUGUAGAUAUCGGUGUUAGCAAAUCUGCAUUCUAUUUUCGCAUUGCUGUGCCUGGAGUUAAGAAAGAUCCUGGUAAUCCCUCUUCAUAUUUUCUUGCCUCUCCUUGAGCACGGUCCAAGUACUUUAGAUAGAUAUCUCCACGUGCCAUUCAAUGGUUUGCAAAUUACCUGACAACAUGGAGACCAGAAAAUUUUUGCAUUAUUACACAGAAUGAACAACUCAUGGAAAUUUCUGGGAGAGAAUUGACCAUUCCAAGUGACAGAAAUUCUGUUCAAGACCACAAGAUAUCUUUUUCUCUCAAAAUUCAUUUAUCUGGCUAACGAACUUUCGAGUUUUAGGAUGAGGAAGGUCGGUUUGGCUGUGAGAUUGAACGGGAUGGAAGAGUUAGCAUCAGAGGCGUGACAUCCACUGGUGUGAAAACUGUAUCAAAAUAUUCUCGAGUUUUUGAACUGAAAUUUCAGCAACAGUGCCCACCGGGACCCUUCACGCUUUACUUCAGUCUUCCGGGGCCAGUUGAUCCAAGUUUGUUUUCACCGUAUUUCAGAUCUGAUGGCAUCUUCGAAGCAGUUGUUGCAAAAUAUUAGUUACUUGUUUUGAGAUCUA
Olea europaea var. sylvestris is the source of this 1623-nucleotide RNA transcript. It is a transcript of the gene named increased DNA methylation 3-like, with no coding region annotated. The transcript has 3 exons. NCBI's taxonomy places the organism in Eukaryota, Viridiplantae, Streptophyta, Magnoliopsida, Lamiales, Oleaceae. The record is from RefSeq and is a predicted model, not a curated record.